UCCUGCCAGUAGUCAUAUGCUUGUCUCAAAGAUUAAGCCAUGCAAGUCUAAGUAUAAGCAUUUAUACUGUGAAACUGCGGAAAGCUCAUUAUAUCAGUUAUAGUUUAUUUGAUGGUAAACCCACUACAUGGAUAACCGUAGUAAUUCUAGAGCUAAUACAUGCCCAGAAGCGGUUUCGCAAGGAACCGUGGACUUAUUAGAUCAAGAGCCAACCCUGCUUCGGCAGGACUGAGCUGAAUCAUAGUAAUUUCGCUAAUCGCAUGAUCUUGUAUCGGCGAUGGGUCAUUCAAAUUUCUGCCCUAUCAGCUGUGAUGUUAGUGUAGUGGACUAACAUGGCAUAAACGGGUGACGGAGGAUUAGGGUCUGAUUCCGGAGAGGGAGCCUGAGAAAUGGCUACCACUUCCAAGGAAGGCAGCAGGCGCGUAAAUUACCCAAUCCCGAUACGGGGAGGUAGUGACAAGAAAUAACAAUACCGGAUCUUUCUAGAUCUGGUAAUUGGAAUGAGUACAACCUAAAAUCCUUAACAAGGACCAAUUGGAGGGCAAGUCUGGUGCCAGCAGCCGCGGUAAUACCAGCUCCAAUAGCGUAUAUUAAAGUUGUUGCAGUUAAAAGGCUCGUAGUCGAACUUUUGGUUCUUUAGUCUUGUCCCGUUCUCUUGUAGAACGUUGUGACGAGUCUUAGAACCUUCCUGGUUGAAAGCACUUCUGCCCUUUAUUGGGUUGGUUGUGUGAUCUGCCUCUUUUACUGUGAGAAAAACAAAGUGCUCAAAGCAGGCUUUACAGCUUGAAUGCGUUAGCAUGGAAUAAUAAGAUAGGACUUUGUUUCUAUUUUGUUGGCUCUGAGGAACAAAGUAAUGAUUGAUAGGGAUAGUUGGGGGUGCUCGUAUUUAACGGUCAGCGGUGAAAUGCAUGGACCCGUUAAAGACGAACCUAUGCGAAAGCAUUCACCAAGGAUAUCUUCUUUGAUCAAGAACGAAAGUUGGGGGAUCGAAGACGAUCAGAUACCGUCGUAGUCUCAACCAUAAACUAU
RNAcentral lists this ribosomal RNA (1029 nucleotides) under uncultured soil eukaryote. RNAcentral describes it as "partial small subunit ribosomal RNA". It matches the Rfam family "Eukaryotic small subunit ribosomal RNA", at positions 12 to 1040 of the family's 1831-position model. The record is from RNAcentral.